Molecule: transfer RNA, 74 nt
Filed under: Defluviitoga tunisiensis
Lineage: Bacteria; Thermotogati; Thermotogota; Thermotogae; Petrotogales; Petrotogaceae
Description: Thermotogaceae bacterium SulfLac1 tRNA
Rfam family: tRNA
About the family: Transfer RNA (tRNA) molecules are approximately 80 nucleotides in length. Their secondary structure includes four short double-helical elements and three loops (D, anti-codon, and T loops). Further hydrogen bonds mediate the characteristic L-shaped molecular structure. tRNAs have two regions of fundamental functional importance: the anti-codon, which is responsible for specific mRNA codon recognition, and the 3' end, to which the tRNAs corresponding amino acid is attached (by aminoacyl-tRNA synthetases). tRNAs cope with the degeneracy of the genetic code in two manners: having more than one tRNA (with a specific anti-codon) for a particular amino acid; and 'wobble' base-pairing, i.e. permitting non-standard base-pairing at the 3rd anti-codon position.
Source: Rfam by way of RNAcentral
GACCCGCUAGCUCAGUCUGGUAGAGCAUUUGACUUUUAAUCAAAGGGUCCUGGGUUCGAAUCCCAGGCGGGUCA